This 74-nucleotide transfer RNA is filed under the name Choiromyces venosus 120613-1. RNAcentral's name for it is "tRNA-Val". Lineage: Eukaryota; Fungi; Ascomycota; Pezizomycetes; Pezizales; Tuberaceae. The record is from RNAcentral.
GGUUUUGUGGUGUAGUUAGUUAUCACACCAGUCUAACACACUGGUGGUCCCUGGUUCAAGCCUGGGCAAAAUCA